Molecule: ribosomal RNA, 301 nt
Filed under: uncultured bacterium
Lineage: Bacteria
Description: partial 16S ribosomal RNA
Rfam family: Archaeal small subunit ribosomal RNA
Source: RNAcentral
CAGUAUCCACGGUAAUACCAGCACCUCGAGUGGUCAGGAGGUUUAUUGGGCCUAAAGCAUCCGUAGCCGGUUGCAUAAGUUUUCGGUUAAAUCUAUGCGCUUAACGUAUAGGCCGCCGAAAAUACUGUGCAGCUAGGGAGUGGGAGAGGUACACGGUACUCGAUAGGAAGGGGUAAAAUCCUUUGAUCUAUUGAUGACCACCUGUGGCGAAGGCGGUGUACCAGAACACGUUCGACGGUGAGGGAUGAAAGCUGGGGGAGCAAACUGGAUUAGAUACCCCUGUAGUCCUUGUCUCUUAUAC